GCCAGUAGUCAUAUCACCCUGUAACUCAUGACUGGCAGCCCACUGAAGCUCAGCAGGUGUGAGCCUGGUCAGUGCCUGGAGGGGAGACCUCCUGGGAAAGCUAAGGUUGCUGCUGGAA
Molecule: ribosomal RNA, 118 nt
Filed under: Lepisosteus oculatus (spotted gar)
Lineage: Eukaryota; Metazoa; Chordata; Actinopteri; Semionotiformes; Lepisosteidae
Source: RNAcentral